AGGGAAUAUUGCGCAAUGGACGGAAGUCUGACGCAGCGACGCCGCGUGAGCGAUGAAGGCCUUCGGGUCGUAAAGCUCUGUCCUUGGGGAAGAAGGUCUUCGGACUUGACGGUACCCAAGAAGAAAGCCCCGGCUAACUACGUGCCAGCAGCCGCGGUAAUACGUAGGGGGCGAGCGUUGUCCGGAAUUACUGGGCGUAAAGGGUGCGUAGGCGGCCCUUUAAGUCGGAUGUGAAAGCCCGCGGCUUAACCGCGGAAUGGCAUUCGAAACUGGAGGGCUUGAGUGUCGGAGAGGGUAGUGGAAUUCCCAGUGUAGCGGUGAAAUGCGUAGAUAUUGGGAGGAACACCAGUGGCGAAGGCGACUACCUGGACGAUAACUGACGCUGAGGCACGAAAGCUAGGGGAGCAAACA
Molecule: ribosomal RNA, 411 nt
Filed under: uncultured Clostridia bacterium
Lineage: Bacteria; Bacillati; Bacillota; Clostridia
Description: bacterial SSU rRNA
Rfam family: Bacterial small subunit ribosomal RNA
Source: RNAcentral